This 509-nucleotide ribosomal RNA is filed under the name Ptycta giffardi. Its description in RNAcentral is "partial 16S ribosomal RNA". The stretch from base 376 to 509 matches the Rfam family "Bacterial large subunit ribosomal RNA", at positions 2473 to 2607 of the family's 2925-position model. The record is from RNAcentral. Lineage: Eukaryota; Metazoa; Arthropoda; Insecta; Psocodea; Psocidae.
AAAACAUGUCUUUUUGAUAAAAAUUUAAAGUCAGGUCUGCUCACUGAAUUAUUUAAAGAGCCGCAGUAUAUUGACUGUGCAAAGGUAGCAUAAUCAAUAGUUUUUUAAUUGGAAACUAGAAUGAAAGAUUAGACGAAAAAUUAAUUUUCUUUGUUUUAAUAAAUUUAAUUUUAAAUUUAAGUGAAAAUGCUUAAAUAUAAUUAAAAGACGAGAAGACCCUAUAGAUUUUUAUUAUUGAAAUAAAUUUUUAAAUUUAAUUUAGUAAAAUAAUUUAAUUGGGGCGAUUUUAUAAUAUAUAUAACUUAAUUUUUUAAAACCAUAAAUAAUUGAAUAUUUGAUCUAAAAUUUUUAAAGAAAAGAUUAAAUUACCUUAGGGAUAACAGCGUAAUUUUAUUUAAGAGUUCAUAUCUAUAAUAAAGUUUGCGACCUCGAUGUUGAAUUAAGAUAAUAUAUUGGAGUAGAAAUUAAUAUAAUUAGUCUGUUCGACUAUUAAAUUCUUACGUGAUCUG